ACACGUGUAGACAAAGGGGGACUCCACAACACAAAGCUAGAUGUGCCCUCUCAAACUUUUUCCACGACAAACGGCGACGCGCACAGAGCAAAACACCCCCAGGUGGAUUUUAACACCAGAUUAACCAGGAAAGCGUUUCUGCUGUUGGAGGUUAAGGAAAGAAAAACUGUGGAAAUCACAUGGAAGAUGUACAGUCACCUAUCAAGCAGCUUUAAGACGCAGAGGAGGAUUAAGAGACUGUGCAGUUUUCUUUUGGAGAAGGUGAAGACUCAUCUUAUAAGGAUUUAAACUUCAGGAGCAGCACUGCCAGGCGGGAUGCAUUUCAGGCACACUUGGAAAUAUGAAACUCAUGGAGACACUUUGAGGAUUAUACAAAUGUGUAGUGUGUCUCUCCACAAGACAACUUUCCAGCCAAAAGUCACUGGGACAGCAGGAUAUUGCAUUUGUGAUCCUCAGAGGCCCUCCGCAUUGGGAGUGUGGGAGUGGUGAGGUCUGGGAGAUCAUGACCUUAAUUCUCUCCAAGACAGACGGUUUAAUUAACACUGGAAGCAUCCUCCCUGGCUCCAGACCUCUACAAUGGGAAUGUACACGGGAAUUGGAUUGCCAAGAUACAUUAUUUCCAACCCACCACUACCCAUGGCUGUGCAGCAAUAACCACCGAUGAUGAAGGACCAAUGUAGACAAAAUGCCCCCUUCUACAAAGUCCACAUUGCGAGAAGACCACCUCACAGGGAUUUUCCCCUUCACCAGGUGGGGCAGAGUGAGAGUCAGAGGGAAGAUCUUCUGGUCUAGACAGGACUGUCAGGGUGAGUGUGUAUUGCAGAUCUGCAGAAAAACGUUCAUACAAAUGAAGACGUUUAUGAAGAUAAAGAGGAAAACAGCUGAAUGGAGAAAUAUCUCUUAAGUUAUGAAUAUUCGUCACACAACUUCAAAUUGUUUGCCAACAUCCAUUAUAACUCCUUUACCUGCAUUUAAGGUUUUUAACUUUAAGUAAUUGAGCAAAGAUCUUGUGGCUCUCAGGAGUUACUUUUUAGAGGAAAUCCCUAGCUGUAAAUAAAUUAGGAAAUCAGUAUGGAUUAUGUUAUUUUGUAUGUGUUUUGAGAAUUAUGAGUUUGUUUGCUCAUUAAAUAAAACAUGUUUAUUAGUUGCAUGUUCAUAACCACAAUGUGUGUCACUAUUGUAAUGUGAAUAAUUGAAAAGCCAAUUAUUGAUAAUCCUCCCUGAUAGAAAUUCAUUUUCUUUCGCUCUUCCACAAUACUGUAAUAGCUACUUUUUCAGCAUAGCUUUGUACUAAUGGUUUUCAUGUAGUACAUGUGAGAGAACAUGUGGUCAGAACAAUGUAUAGGCAUCUAAGGAUUCACAGAGCUACACAGUUUUGAAAACCCUAGUGUCUGGUACAAUAACAUAUUUAUGUUUCUGCACUGUAUCUGUUAAGAAGUAAUGAUCCCGAUUUGGUCUCAGGAGAACAAAGACAACGUUAAGGACAUGUGCUCAUGCAAUAUGUAAAGCUCUUCGGAGAAAUACUCCCCGACUGUACUGCUCUCCUGUGACGGUAUAUAUGUACAGCGUUUCCCUUUUUAUCAUCAAGUAGAAUAUGAAUGAAUAUUGUAUUGUUCCGCAAAACAUUGAGGUAAUAAAAUGUUGAAUAAAGAAUUGUAAUGGUUA
Molecule: long non-coding RNA, 1665 nt
Organism: Trematomus bernacchii (emerald rockcod)
Lineage: Eukaryota; Metazoa; Chordata; Actinopteri; Perciformes; Nototheniidae
Exons: 7
Source: RefSeq, a predicted model, not a curated record